Molecule: non-coding RNA, 46 nt
Organism: Ailuropoda melanoleuca (giant panda)
Lineage: Eukaryota; Metazoa; Chordata; Mammalia; Carnivora; Ursidae
Source: Rfam
CUAAAGGCCCUUUUCAGGGCCGCCCACCUUCUCUCCAAAAGGGCUG